RNAcentral lists this unclassified non-coding RNA (2225 nucleotides) under Hevea brasiliensis (rubber tree). The record is from RNAcentral. Lineage: Eukaryota; Viridiplantae; Streptophyta; Magnoliopsida; Malpighiales; Euphorbiaceae.
AUUGCUUUCACUUUACACCUUCUCUAUAUCUUUAAUGCAAAAACAAGAAAAGCUCAUAGGUUUUACAAGGCAAAUUUUCCUAAUAUCAUUUAGAAAAAAGAGUUCAUGAUGGCAUGUAACGAUACAAGAAAUAUGGAUGAGCAAAUUGGCAGGCUACUAGGCAAAUCGGUUUCACAAAAAUGGUGGCCUGGCAGCUCAAGGGCCAAGGCAUUUCGCUCAAAACGACUUUCUGGGUAUAUUAAUGAAUCAAGAAAUUACUAAACUGAACAGGGUAAAUCAAAAUUUUGAAUUAUGUUGUAUGCUCAAUGGUUGGUCGACAGGUUAGUGUGGGUUUCACAACCCAAUAGUUAUAACUUCACCAGUUAAUGCCAAUAAAUCCACGGCCCGCUUGGUUGAUGAGAGGGAAUCAGAUGUUUCUUUGCCAAGAGAGAAAGCUUCGUUUAUAGUUGAAUCCAACCAGGACAAACAUUCCCUUGUCGCAAUAGGGAAUCCUGACGAGACCCUGCAAUUCCUCAGUCCCGCUUUAAGGUUGAAGUUCCUCGUCCUUCCACUUCGUUCAAAAGCAUGGCAUCUUCAUUUGACUAACGUUAACAUAUAACUCUGCCCGUAUGUGCUGCUGCUACUAAGUCCCCUGCUGUUAAUUAAUGGCGACUGGUAAUCAUUUUCAUUAUAUCUCUCAGAAAAUUGCCAAACCAAAGUUGAUAUUAUGAUCCCAAUCCCACCAUUAUGUAUAUAAACACACGUACACAGGAUAUGUAAUGAUAUCUAUAGUUCAAUGGCCUGCGUGGAAAGGUGAUUAAGUUGGAAAAAUGCAACAAAUACCAAUGAACGGCAAAAUCUUCAUCAUAUUAGUAAUAUCAAAGCACUACCAGAGGAGAUUCUUUUUCUGCCCAUAAGCCUUCCACUUCUCUGAACGGUCCAUAUAUUUCUUUCUUUUCGGCUUUAGGGAAUAAGAACGUCAACCGAAACCUGCAAAAACCCAUUUGCGAAAUUCCUAUAUAUACCAACUCUUACCAAGGCUUCUUGCAACAAAUAUUGAAACUUGGAAGAAAAUUGAUGAUAUCAACCAUUACCAUCAUCUAAUUUCUACUUCUCUCUUUUUACCAUUUCUCCGUUGCUUUAAUUUUACAUCUUUCAUUUCAUCUAUUCUCAUUGCAUGGUAUUGACAUUAAAGAAAUAAGCAUUUUCUUCCCUUUUCAAGUUGCGUCUUCCUUUAUACCAAUAAGGUAAGGUUCCUAUAGGAAUAUUUCAUAUAUUUAUAUAUACAUGUAUUCUGUUGCUCGACUGUGCAAACUUUAUCCUCUUAUUUUCUUUCAUUAAUCAAUUAAUUAACCUUUUCCUCUGUUUUAAUCUCUGUUCUAUAUAUAGAGAGACUAAAAUUGUACUAAAGCCACCCUUUCCUUAUCUAUCAACGCCUGAUUAAACAGGUUCAUCACGAAACCUUCCAUGUCUAUCUGCCAACAAACACAUCAUCAAGUGCUCGAUAUUCCCGCCGGCAGGCUCAAAAUGGACAUUGUAAGUCCUAGGUGGCAGAAAGCAAAGGUGGUGAUUUUAAUGGGGGCAACUGGCACUGGCAAGUCCAGACUCUCUAUGGACCUGGCAACCCAAUUCCCAGCAGAAAUCAUCAACUCUGAUAAAAUGCAAGUUUUCAAGGGCCUUGAAAUAACGACCAACAAAAUCAGUGAAGAAGAAAGAUUCGGAAUACCUCACCACCUGUUAGGAGAAGUAAAUCCUAAUGCAGACUUCACAGCAAAAGAUUUUUGCAGUAUGGCUUCCCUUGCUAUUGAAUCGGUUUCGACUCGGGGCUUACUUCCAAUUGUCGUUGGAGGCUCCAAUUCAUACAUUGAGGCCCUGGUGGAUGAUGACGAUUAUAGAUUCCGAUCAAAAUAUGAAUGUUGCUUCCUAUGGGUAGAUGCGUCAAUGUCUGUCCUAAACGAUUUCCUGUGCAAGCGAGUUGAUGAAAUGGUUAGCAAAGGAAUGGUUGAUGAGGUAAGGAAAAUCUUCGAUCCCUACGCAGAUUACUCUAAAGGGAUCAGGAGAUCGAUCGGGGUCCCAGAGCUGGACAAGUACUUGAGAGAUGAAGCAUUUUCCAACGGAGAGAACUGUGACAGACUAAUUCUUGAAGCAAUACGUGAGGUUAAAAAUAACAACUGCAAGUUAGCUCGUCGCCAAUUGGAGAAAAUCCGCCGGCUGAAGAAUGUGAAGGGGUGGAACAUUCAUCGAAU